UGUAGGUUAGUUUAAUAAAAAUUAUUGAUUUCGACUCAAUAGACCCUGCUUGACCAGGACCUCCAA
This 66-nucleotide transfer RNA is filed under the name Acanthodactylus boskianus (Bosk's fringe-fingered lizard). RNAcentral's name for it is "tRNA-Arg". Lineage: Eukaryota; Metazoa; Chordata; Lepidosauria; Squamata; Lacertidae. The record is from RNAcentral.